UACGUAGGGGGCAAGCGUUAUCCGGAUUUACUGGGUGUAAAGGGGGCGCAGACGGCGAUGCAAGCCAGGAGUGAAAGCCCGGGGCCCAACCCCGGGACUGCUCUUGGAACUGCGUGGCUGGAGUGCAGGAGGGGCAGGCGGAAUUCCUGGUGUAGCGGUGAAAUGCGUAGAUAUUAGGAGGAACACCAGUGGCGAAGGCGGCUUACUGGACUGUAAAUGACGCUGAGGCUCGAAAGCGUGGGGAGCAAACAGG
Molecule: ribosomal RNA, 253 nt
Filed under: uncultured bacterium
Lineage: Bacteria
Description: partial 16S ribosomal RNA
Rfam family: Bacterial small subunit ribosomal RNA
Source: RNAcentral